This 503-nucleotide ribosomal RNA is filed under the name Bifidobacterium animalis subsp. lactis. RNAcentral's name for it is "bacterial SSU rRNA". It matches the Rfam family "Bacterial small subunit ribosomal RNA", at positions 196 to 702 of the family's 1533-position model. Lineage: Bacteria; Bacillati; Actinomycetota; Actinomycetes; Bifidobacteriales; Bifidobacteriaceae. The record is from RNAcentral.
GGGUGGGAAUGCUUUUGCGGCAUGGGAUGGGGUCGCGUCCUAUCAGCUUGUUGGCGGGGUGAUGGCCCACCAAGGCGUUGACGGGUAGCCGGCCUGAGAGGGUGACCGGCCACAUUGGGACUGAGAUACGGCCCAGACUCCUACGGGAGGCAGCAGUGGGGAAUAUUGCACAAUGGGCGCAAGCCUGAUGCAGCGACGCCGCGUGCGGGAUGGAGGCCUUCGGGUUGUAAACCGCUUUUGUUCAAGGGCAAGGCACGGUUUCGGCCGUGUUGAGUGGAUUGUUCGAAUAAGCACCGGCUAACUACGUGCCAGCAGCCGCGGUAAUACGUAGGGUGCGAGCGUUAUCCGGAUUUAUUGGGCGUAAAGGGCUCGUAGGCGGUUCGUCGCGUCCGGUGUGAAAGUCCAUCGCCUAACGGUGGAUCUGCGCCGGGUACGGGCGGGCUGGAGUGCGGUAGGGGAGACUGGAAUUCCCGGUGUAACGGUGGAAUGUGUAGAUAUCGAGA